ACUCACCUCUACUUAUAGCACCAAGGAAAACAUUCCAAUGGCGCAAAAAACCAGUAAACAACACAUAUCCACUAAUCAGUCUAGAGAAUGUAUUCGACAAACUAUAUAAGGAUAAAUAUUACCCCAACCUCUUAAUCGUAUUUUCCUCAAAUAACUUCCAGAGACUGUUGACUAUGGGGUGCCAUGAGGUGCCAAUGUUUUGUGUACGUCGACGACAUAAUCGUAUUUAACCGCAGCUUAUAACACCAUAAUGAUAAUCUCAUUAAAAUAUUAAUUUUUAAAUUAAUAUGUGGGUUAAGAAUAAAAAAAAUUGAAAUAAAGUAAAAUUCAACAUAUUGCAACAAAGUAAGCAUAAUGGCUGUUUAUUAACAAUAAUUCUAUAUAAAGCCGCUGUAAACUAAAUUUAAUGGGUUUCUCCAAAAAAAACCGGAAGGUUCGCGGACAACUUGGAUGAACCAUAAAUGUCGAACAAAAAAGAAGAUGAUGACCGAAGGAAGAAGUAGAACUGAUUGAUUAAAUUGCAGACUUAGCAAAUUGAGACGUAGCAGUCGAGAGGGUUAAAGGGGUACUGAAAUUUGGCGCUGCGGUCAUAUCUUUCGAUAGUGAUGCGCUUCUCUCCGCCAGUAGAGUAGCGUAAAACUUCAAGCAAAAUCAAUUAUUAAGAGAGAAUAUCGAUGACAAUAGAUCGUCAAUGUACUAAAGCUGAAAAAGGAAAAAGUCGAAUACGUUUUUCGCCAGAU
Long non-coding RNA from Glossina fuscipes, 740 nucleotides. RefSeq lists it as uncharacterized. The record is from RefSeq and is a predicted model, not a curated record. NCBI's taxonomy places the organism in Eukaryota, Metazoa, Arthropoda, Insecta, Diptera, Glossinidae. The transcript is spliced from 3 exons.